This 395-nucleotide ribosomal RNA is filed under the name uncultured bacterium. RNAcentral's name for it is "partial 16S ribosomal RNA". It matches the Rfam family "Bacterial small subunit ribosomal RNA", at positions 523 to 918 of the family's 1533-position model. The record is from RNAcentral.
AUACGUAGGGUGCAAGCAUUAAUCGGAAUUACUGGGCGUAAAGCGUGCGCAGGCGGUUUUGUAAGACAGAGGGGAAAUCCCCGGGCCCAACCUGGGAAAUGCCUUUGUGACUGCAAGGCUAGAGUACGGCCGUGGGGGAUGGAAUUCCGCGUGUAGCAGUGAAAUGCGUAGAUAUGCGGAGGAACACCGAAGGCGAAGGCAAUCCCCUGGGCAUUUACGGACGCUCAUGCACGAAAGCGUGGGGAGCAAACAGGAUUAGAUACCCGGGUAGGCCACGCCCUAAACGAUGUCAACUGGUUGUCGGGUCUUCAUUGACUCAGUAACGAAGCUAACGCGUGAAGUUGACCGCCUGGGGAGUACGGCCGCAAGGUUGAAACUCAAAGGAAUUGACGGGG